Molecule: long non-coding RNA, 617 nt
Filed under: Camelus dromedarius (Arabian camel)
Lineage: Eukaryota; Metazoa; Chordata; Mammalia; Artiodactyla; Camelidae
Description: lncRNA (ENSCDRG00005010350.1)
Source: RNAcentral
GUUGUAUUCCUUAGAAAUCAACCACAGCCUAAUUUCUUAUUUUAGAGAUGAUGUCCCAGCCAGUGUCCUUCCACUGUGUCGCACUCCAUCUUGUCCAGUUUCUGAGUAGAGCCAGGACCUGUGCCCAGAAUUAGUGGCUCUCAUCUCUUUCAGCUUUUUUGUUUCCCUAAUUUCUGUGAUUCUCUGAUGAAAUCAUUGAGAUUAUUUUUGUGCCAAAAUAUGUACAUGUCUCAGAAAUAACUGUUUUCCAACAUUGUGUUUUGAUCACAGAAAGUUUUGAAUGUCCAGAUCCGGAUAAUUUAAGCAGUAUUGAGUUUGUCACUCUCUACCAACGCAAAAGUUCCCUGGCCAGCCUAUAUACUUCAAAUGACAGCACUCCAGACUCUGAUAAGCCCAGCACUUCCAAGCAGGGGUCUGAAAUGAUGAGGAAGUUAUCGUCUGCUCUAUCCAAAAUGUUCUCAGGAUCUAAUGCCAAUGUUCCUAAAUCUUCCUCACCCUCACCCCCUCACCAAGACAGAAGCUGAGGCUGCGACACCUGACAUCAAUAAGCAUGCUGGCCUUCCUCAAAAAAUAAAUGGUUUUUGAAGCAUGACAUUGUGUCCUACACAGUAGUUCUC